CCUCUUUAGUUGUUUGUCUUUACUGAUGGAGAGGUGGGGAACACCAAAGAAGUGAUCGCUCUGGUUAAGAAGAAUUCAGGUUCCCACAGGUGUUUCUCUUUUGGGAUUGGGGAAGGGGCCAGCUCUGCUCUCAUCAAUGGGAUGGCCAAGGAAGGAGGAGGUCAUGCUCAGUUCAUCACAGGGACUAACAGGAACCAAAAGUGAUGCAGUCGCAGCAAUUUUUUCCUGCAACCAGCUGUGGAAGAUGUUUCUGUUACAUGGGAUUUACCAAAGGGAUCCACUAUCACUGUCCUCUCUCCACCAAUCACAACCAUUUUCCAGGGUCAAAGGUCACUGAUUUAUGCCCAGCUUACUGGACAGAGCUCAGAGGCAGCAGAGGGCUGUGUGACGCUGAAGUACAGCCUGGCAGGUCAUCCCUCUGAGAACCAGCUGCACUUCAGUCUCAGACCUGCAGAGAACACUGGCUUAAUAGUCCACAGGUUAGCUGCUCGGACUCUUAUUUGCUUGCUAGAGAUGGAAGCAGAAAACAAUGAGAAAAAAGAAGAAGUAAAAAAGAAGGUGGUGCAGCCGAGUGUCCAAUCAGGAGUGAGCAGUUCUUUUACUGCUUUCAUUGUUGUCAAUAAAGAAAACAACAAGGAGAUUCAAGGACCUCUUCUGCACCGAGAUAUUCCAAUGGCUGGUCUAAUGAGAUGUGUUGCUACCC
Pundamilia nyererei is the source of this 703-nucleotide long non-coding RNA. RefSeq lists it as uncharacterized. NCBI's taxonomy places the organism in Eukaryota, Metazoa, Chordata, Actinopteri, Cichliformes, Cichlidae. The transcript has 6 exons. The record is from RefSeq and is a predicted model, not a curated record.